Molecule: ribosomal RNA, 386 nt
Filed under: uncultured bacterium
Lineage: Bacteria
Description: bacterial SSU rRNA
Rfam family: Bacterial small subunit ribosomal RNA
Source: RNAcentral
GAUGAACGCUAGCGGCAGGCCUAACACAUGCAAGUCGAGGGGCAGCACGUCUUCGGAUGGUGGCGACCGGCGCACGGGUGCGUAACGCGUAUGCAACCUACCUCUUACAGUGGGAUAGCCCAGAGAAAUUUGGAUUAAUACCGCAUAGUAUACAGAUUCAGCAUUGGGACUGUAUUAAACAUUUAUGGGUAAGAGAUGGGCAUGCGUUCUAUUAGUUAGUUGGAGUGGUAACGGCACCCCAAGACAGCGAUAGAUAGGGGCCCUGAGAGGGGGAUCCCCCGACACUGGUACUGAGACACGGACCAGACUCCUACGGGAGGCAGCAGUGAGGAAUAUUGGACAAUGGGCGAGAGCCUGAUCCAGCCAUGCCGCGUGCAGGAAGACGG